UAUAAUUGUAUAUAGGUGGAGAAGCCAAAUAGAAGAUGAACAAGCAAGGAAAACGUGGUGAAGGGUUCGGCCACUAUAUUUUUUGCUUACUACUUAGGAAGUUUGUUAGGCAUUAAAGAUUGUCUUUAAACUUUCUUAUUUUGUUAAGAACUUAUUAUGUGGCUUCAUAUGAUGGAAGACCACUAAUAGUGCCUAAAUGUAUAAAGGUAUUUAUAUUAGUCUCUAAAUGUAUAGAGCUAAUACUUUUUGUAUUAAACAUUAUGAAUGUUUGAACUAUCAUAUUAAUGUAAUGUGAAGAAUGCCUUUUAAAAUACUAUUUCCUUAAAGUAGUGUUAUGAAUUGAAAAUUGUCUUGUUGUAUCCUUGAUGAGAUACAAGAGUUAUAUCACUUAUUGUAAUGUGAUAAACAAACUUUAGAUUUAUCAAUUAUGGAUAGAUCUCACAUGUAGGACAUAAAAAGGAUACAAUGAAUAUUUAGAUUUGGUUCCAUUUGUCUUCUUAUGAGUUCUAUAUGAAUUGACAAAAGUCUAGAGAAUCCUUUUCUUGAAGAAAAGGAUGAUCACAUUAUAAUGAUAUAAGUAAUAAGAAAAACGUUUCUUAUAUGGUUGUCACUUGAAACACAAUGAUCAAGAUCACUCUUGAUUCAAUUAGUAGUUUUGAACAUCUAAUUGGGCAUUCUUUAAAAAGUUUUAAAAUGUCAAUUGUGUUAGUGAUUAAACCAAGAAAGAAGUAUCUAAAUCUAUAAAAGGUUUAAAGACUUUAGCUACUUAAUAAACAAGACAUUAAAACUUAGUGAAGAUUGAAGCAAAUAAGCUUGAAAUGUUUUAAAGCUACUACACAAUGUCUUCUACCAAUAUAAUCCACUUUUAUACAUUUUAAAAUGUAUGAAAUGAUUUCUCAUUAAAGUCAUGAGAAAUAGUGGGAGGUGUGAAAAUGGAUAUAAACUUGAAUGUGAUUGGUUUAUAGUUGUCUAAUGAAUAAUAGUACUUGACUAUUAUUAAGAGUUUGUAAUUUUAAUUGUUAAAAGGACUCAAGCUCUUUAAACGUUAAAAUUCUAUGUUGUGUAACAUUUUAAAGAAUAGUCUUUGAAUGUUGGUUUCGUCAACCUAGCAUAAAAUGGUUAUAUGUUGGGAGUUGUCCAUAAUUCUCUUUUAUGAGAACAAGCUAAAUAACAAAGCAUAUGGACAAGUUGAUGAAACAAAAAGGGAAUAAGUUUCAAAAUGAGUCACAACAUAUGGUUUAACAACAAUACAAUCCAAAUUCAACAUCUCAUGUAACUAUAUUGCUCUAUGUAGUUUUGAUAAAGAAUUAUAUCAACCACCUAGAAGAAAUGGUUGAGUUUCUAUAACCUUAGUAGGAGCCAUGCUUCCACUAAGGAAUUGGAUAAUUCUUAUAUGACUACAUUAAAGGUCUUAGUAUGACUGAAACUUGUAGUAUGGUGUAUGACAUCGUAUAAUUAAAUAAAUAGACUUGAUAAAACAAGUCACAUAUUCAAAAGGAAUUACUUUAGAAGGAAUUCUUUUGUAUGUGAUUCGUUUAAAUAACUUGUGUUAGCUAGGGUUGUUGAUGGUCUCAAAAUUGUUGAGACAUCAUCAAUAAGCUAAUGGAUCUCAAUGAUUCUCAAUGGAUCCAAGACAAGUUAGAAUGAGCAAUAUGCAUUCAAAUCAAGAUAUAUAUAAUUGUUAUUUUUGAAUGAAUGCUAAGUUACAACAAGGCUAGUGGGAGUGAUUGAUGCGUAAAAUAAGUUAACACACAAAAUUAAACCCUCUUUUUAUCAAAUGUAGUAAAGUAUGUAAGUAGGGA
RNAcentral lists this long non-coding RNA (1802 nucleotides) under Malus domestica (apple). RNAcentral describes it as "long non-coding RNA (MDOM_LNC011465)". The record is from RNAcentral. Lineage: Eukaryota; Viridiplantae; Streptophyta; Magnoliopsida; Rosales; Rosaceae.